This 253-nucleotide ribosomal RNA is filed under the name uncultured bacterium. RNAcentral describes it as "partial 16S ribosomal RNA". It matches the Rfam family "Bacterial small subunit ribosomal RNA", at positions 524 to 776 of the family's 1533-position model. The record is from RNAcentral.
UACGUAGGUGGCAAGCGUUGUCCGGAUUUACUGGGCGUAAAGAGCGCGCAGGCGGUCGUUCAAGUCGCGUGUGAAAGCCCCCGGCUCAACUGGGGAGGGUCACGCGAUACUGAUCGACUCGAAGGCAGGAGAGGGUAGUGGAAUUCCCGGUGUAGUGGUGAAAUGCGUAGAUAUCGAGAGGAACACCAGUGGCGAAGGCGAGUCCCUGGACAUCUGUUGACGCUGAGGUGCGAAAGCGUGGGGAGCAAACAGG